AUUGAACGCUGGCGGCAUGCUUUACACAUGCAAGUCGAACGGGGUGAAGGGGCAACUCUCCAUUCAGUGGCGAACGGGUGAGUAAUGCAUCGGAACGUACCUCGUAGUGGGGGAUAACUCGGCGAAAGCCGUGCUAAUACCGCAUAUGCUCUACGGAGGAAAGCAGGGGACCUGAAAGGGCCUUGUGCUAUGGGAGCGGCCGAUGUCCGAUUAGCUAGUUGGUGGGGUAAUGGCCUACCAAGGCGACGAUCGGUAGCUGGUCUGAGAGGAUGAUCAGCCACACUGGGACUGAGACACGGCCCAGACUCCUACGGGAGCAGCAGUUAGGAAUCUUGGACAAUGGGCGCAAGCCUGAUCCAGCCAUGCCGCGUGAGUGAUGAAGGCCUUUAGGGUUGUAAAGCUCUUUCAGCGGGGAAGAUAAUGACGGUACCCGCAGAAGAAGCCCGGCUAACUUCGUGCCAGCCGCCGCAGUAAU
This 475-nucleotide ribosomal RNA is filed under the name uncultured bacterium. RNAcentral's name for it is "bacterial SSU rRNA". It matches the Rfam family "Bacterial small subunit ribosomal RNA", at positions 30 to 524 of the family's 1533-position model. The record is from RNAcentral.